GCCUGGGUGGCUCAGUCGGUUGAGCAUCUGACUUCAGCUCAGGUCACGAUCUCGCGGUCUGUGAGUUCGAGCCCCGCAUCGGGGCU
Molecule: non-coding RNA, 86 nt
Organism: Felis catus (domestic cat)
Lineage: Eukaryota; Metazoa; Chordata; Mammalia; Carnivora; Felidae
Source: Rfam